GGGGAUUUAGCUCAGUGGUAGAGCGCUUGCCUAGCAAGUGCAAGGCCCUGGGUUCGAUGCCCAGCUCCG
Molecule: transfer RNA, 69 nt
Filed under: Rattus norvegicus (Norway rat)
Lineage: Eukaryota; Metazoa; Chordata; Mammalia; Rodentia; Muridae
Rfam family: tRNA
About the family: Transfer RNA (tRNA) molecules are approximately 80 nucleotides in length. Their secondary structure includes four short double-helical elements and three loops (D, anti-codon, and T loops).
Source: Rfam by way of RNAcentral